CCCGGUUUUAAGCCUUUUUAGAACGACCUCAGGGAUUCUCUAGCUUUCCUGAGAUGCAAAGACUGCCCAUGGCCUCUGCUAAGCUGAGGGUGUCAGGAGGGGAAGGGCAGCAACAAUAAAGGAUUGAGCUCUGGGAGAAACAGGCUCAUCCAUGUGGAGACCCAGGAGCAGGCGGUUCCAGACGGAGCUGGCGGAGGGAGGCGGCCAGGGCAGAGAGCCCAGGACGAGGACGCGUCCCUGCCACACAAAAAGCAACUAUUCAAAACCACCCAGGGAGUUCUCUCUUAUUGAAAAGUCCUUGAUUCUUCCCUUUUUGCAGCAGAACUCACGAACAAGGGCCCCGUCUUAUUAAUGGGGUGAUGGAGGGGCCCGGGAGGGAGGGUCCUGCUGCUCUGGAAGGUGGCUGAGCCCGCCCCACAAGUCAUUAGGAGCUGGUAACUAAGGGAUUGGAGGAAGAAUUCUUGGAAAACACCUCCAAGACUCAGUUUGCAAUCAGUUUCUCAGCUGUGACAUUUAAUAGAAGAACUUCAAAGAUGUCAUUGCCUCAGAUCAGUGAAAGCCAGAGUACCAGGAUCAGAACCUAGGUAGCUGCCCUCUGGAAGCUCUGCCCUGCCAUCAAAGCUUCUUCCUGUACCUCCAUCCCUCAUCCUGGUAAGGACACCUCGCCUCACCUCCCAGCCUUGCUGGGUCCUUUGGAGCCCAGACUGGACAAGGGAGCCCCCCUGGGAGCUCUGGCAUCACUAUCCAUGUCCAGCUGUGCUGCAGGAUUGUCACAGUGACCGCUGGGUGACAGCAAUCAAGCUGGAAGCUUUGGACUGGUAGCUGGAGUCCAAAUCUAGCCUGCAAGGAGUUGCUGAGUUAGAUGACGGCACAAACAAACCAGGCCGUGCCAUGGAAACAUCUGAUACCUGAUGCCUAAGGCAGUGAGUGGGUGAUAAGUUCCCUGGCUUCAUCCUGUGUACCUGGGGCCAGGAUAUGCAGGCACACCCCACCAGGACUGGUGGCCCCGCACUAUGCAAACAUGAAUUCAUCUCUAAUUCCUCUUCCAAGGUAAUAUAUUCUCACUUAAAAAAAUAGGGUCUCAGUUAUUAAAUUGCCUAGGUUGGGUUUAAACUUGUGAUCUUCCUGCCUCAGCCUCCUAAAAUGCUGGGAUCAUAGACAUAUGCCAUCCUGCUGGCUCAUGUUAGCAUUUUAAGCAGGGCCUUCAAUGCUCUGACCAGUGGUGGUGAUGAGGCAUUACAGGCCCUGGGGAACACAGGAGAGGGAUAUUUAGAGGAAUAGCAGGUUUCAAGGUCACCUGAGAGAUGGCCACUUUCACGGAUAGCCUGGUGCAGGCAAGGUCUCUGCCUGCUUCAGUGUCAAGGAAUUUUGUGGAAUGAGUAGACCUCUCUCCCAAUUCUGCCCUUUGAGAACAGGUACAUGCUGCUCUUCCCACCCUAACUGCCCCUCUGGCUCCUCCUGACAUUAUUGGUUCCCAAAUCCUCUCCUUGGUCAAGCUUCCCCUAAGAAUGUGCGACUAGAUCCAACAAAUCUCACUGGAACCCAGUCCAACAGGAAUACUCCUUCCUUUUCCCCAAACACUCUACCUUUGAUAAUGUAACCUUAGGUGGGUCCAGUGAACCCAUCAGGCCCAGAUCAGGUCAGAUUGAGAUGAAGUCACCUGAACCCCAGAAUGUCCCCUAGAAAGACUAAAAGAUUACAGCAUGUCCCUCUCCCCCAAAACCAGCAAGCCCAAGGCCCCUACAGAGCAACACAAAGGUGCCCUAAGCAGAUGGACAGAUGUACAAACAAGCCGCUGGGAUCCCAAGGCAGAAGGGGGAAACUGAUGCUCAAUGAAGCAGAAAAAGCCCUUGCUCACGGCCAGUGCUCUGUUUCUGGGUGUGGCUGCCUAUAUCGAGGUCUCUUCCUUUCAGGCUGGGUGGCUUACAGUGUAUAGAAGAGGGCAGGAACAUAGUAAAAGCCAAAUCUCCACAAAAGCUCAGGUGAACUGGUUCCCCGGAACAUCCACACUCUUUGGAACCCAGGCAACACCUGCCCCUGGGCAUAGGCUAAGGGUCAUCUGGUGCUUCUAUAAUGGCACCACUGCAAUUCUACCACAGUAGUCCUUGUAGACUUGAUGAGCUCAGCAAUGA
Fukomys damarensis (Damara mole-rat) is the source of this 2132-nucleotide long non-coding RNA. RefSeq lists it as uncharacterized. The transcript is spliced from 3 exons. The record is from RefSeq and is a predicted model, not a curated record. Lineage: Eukaryota; Metazoa; Chordata; Mammalia; Rodentia; Bathyergidae.